UACACGCGGGCUACAAUGGGUGGGACGAAUGGGUAUCGGACACCGAAACGGUGAAGGGCAAUCUCCUAAACCCAUCCGUAGUUCGGAUUGUGGGCUGCAACUCGCCCACAUGAAGCUGGAAUCUGUAGUAAUCGUGUCUCAAAAUGGCACGGUGAAUAUGUCCCUGCUCCUU
Molecule: ribosomal RNA, 172 nt
Filed under: uncultured Methanomicrobiales archaeon
Lineage: Archaea; Methanobacteriati; Methanobacteriota; Methanomicrobia; Methanomicrobiales
Description: partial 16S ribosomal RNA
Rfam family: Archaeal small subunit ribosomal RNA
Source: RNAcentral